Bubalus bubalis (water buffalo) is the source of this 851-nucleotide long non-coding RNA. RefSeq lists it as uncharacterized. NCBI's taxonomy places the organism in Eukaryota, Metazoa, Chordata, Mammalia, Artiodactyla, Bovidae. The transcript is spliced from 2 exons. The record is from RefSeq and is a predicted model, not a curated record.
UCCUUUCGCAUUUUUCCUGUCACUUGCUCUUUUCCCUACUUGUCUCCAAUGUGUCUGGCCCCAGAGAGCUGCAGCUGUGCUGUGGUCAGCAGGAAUCCCUUUCCAUUCUUGGGGAGGUUCAGUCUGCUGAGCACCUUAACAAUCCACUGUCUAGAUGACACAUGCUGAGGCAGAGUAUAUUAAGGCACUCAGAAUACCAAUGUGGGCCAAAGUGCAGCUUCUCAAUGCAGCUCCAUACCCAUGAAGUGAGUGGUGGACCCUCUCACACGGCUUCUUAGAAGACUAUUGAAUUGAGAUGACUAAUAGGACAGAGGAUGAGAUGGCUGGAUGGCAUCACCGACUCGAUGGACAUGAGUCUGAGUGAACUCCAGGAGUUGGUGAUGGACAGGGAGGCCUGGCGUGCUGCGAUUCAUGGGGUCACACAGAGUUAGACACGACUGAGCGACUGAACUGAGCUGAACUGAAUAGGAACUUAAGGUUUUGUACCCUCUCUGCUUGUUAGGGACAACAGAGAUUCAGAUAGUGAUUUCUGAAGUUGUCUGAACCUUGUAUCCUGCUCACUGCAUAGUCAGGGAGCCACCACUAGUGGUUGUUUCCGGGACGAGAUGGGUGUUUCACGGGAGAUUUCAAUUAGGAUAUGGUAUGGGUGUAGUCUGGAGGUUUUUUAAAAAGCUGCAUACAUCCACUUGCUCAAAAUGAUAGCUUUUUAUUUCAGGUUCAGAGAGACAGAGCCCCAAGUCUAGGAGGAUCAUAUUCAGCUCACAGCUGCAGUUCUCAGAUUUCACUGAUGAGGCAAACCCAGCCCUCUUCUGCCUGCCUACCCCACCCCAUUAAAACUCUUAAAGCAAUAA